CCAGAGAUGGCUUGGUGCCUUCGGGAACUGUGAGACAGGUGCUGCAUGGCUGUCGUCAGCUCGUGUUGUGAAAUGUUGGGUUAAGUCCCGCAACGAGCGCAACCCUUAUCCUUUGUUGCCAGCGGUUCGGCCGGGAACUCAAAGGAGACUGCCAGUGAUAAACUGGAGGAAGGUGGGGAUGACGUCAAGUCAUCAUGGCCCUUACGACCAGGGCUACACACGUGCUACAAUGGC
RNAcentral lists this ribosomal RNA (234 nucleotides) under Klebsiella quasipneumoniae. Its description in RNAcentral is "partial 16S ribosomal RNA". It matches the Rfam family "Bacterial small subunit ribosomal RNA", at positions 1000 to 1234 of the family's 1533-position model. The record is from RNAcentral. Lineage: Bacteria; Pseudomonadati; Pseudomonadota; Gammaproteobacteria; Enterobacterales; Enterobacteriaceae.